Long non-coding RNA from Bradysia coprophila, 1871 nucleotides. The record is from RefSeq and is a predicted model, not a curated record. Lineage: Eukaryota; Metazoa; Arthropoda; Insecta; Diptera; Sciaridae.
AUUUCUGCUGUACUGCUUCCAUGACUAGUCACGCCCGUCGCUUCACGACUAAUCAAGACCGCGCUUCAUAACUAAUCAAGCCAGUAGCUCUUCAACAAGUCGAGCCCGGCAAUUCAAGACUAGUCGCGCCCGUCACUCUCCGACCAGCCGCGCCCGUCAAUCCAAGACUAGUCGCGCCCGUCGCUCAAAUUAAUAAUUAACAUAGCACAAUUUCUAAUAUCGCAUUGAAGCGGUAAAUUUAGACAUUUUGUGUUCAAAAAUCUGAGUCUAUACCAUUAUUCUUUCAAUAGCAUAAGCUAUCAAUUAACACAGUUCAAGCACGUUUUCACAGUAAAGCUAAAUUUUCUAGCCUAACUCAACAAAAAACGUAUUUAAUGUGUCAACAAAUGAAAUCAGUAAGAAAUGGUAAAACAAGUACACGAUUCAGCUGACAUAAGCGAAUCUAUCGUACAAGCACGUACGUCAUUACACAAACUGUGGUAACGUUUACGACUCAAAUCAAAUCACGCCAACCGCGAUGCAACAUCUAUCGCGAAAAUUUUUUGUUCUCAACCUUACGCUUACUAUACUUCAGCACGUUUGGAUGAACGAAAAAUAAGUUUUACAGGUCGAAACUAAAAAUGUCUACCACUUCAUAGGUUUCGCUUUCGCUGUUCAACAAACUUUAUGUUACGAAAGUGUUUCAACCUGGUAACUGUUACUUCGGGAAAACCUAAGCAUAGUCUGGACCUAAGUUAACCAACUUUUACAUGUCAGUUAUCAUGAUCUAUAUGUCUGAAGGUUGCCUAGCAUCUACAUGUUGCUACAUCCUUGUAAUGUCUAUGGAUAUGAUCAGAAAUACAUCAGGCCAGCCGCUUGAAGUACUAUGGCACAACCGUGCACAGUAACGCGACAUUUUAUUAUCAUAAGGUGGAUUAAGUUCGCGAGCGUGUAACAACAAUCAAUCGAGACUCCCACCGAUGGUAGCGAUGCUAAUUCACGAACUUAGCUCAUGUUCUGUUCGUUAGUUCCGACCUUCUUAUAAAUCUUUUUAGCAUCUCAAAAUCUGAUGUACGAGUUAACAUUUGGAAAAAAUCUGUACAGUCCGUUUUUCCGUAAUUUCGUUUCUCAUCAGUAAUUUUACGAGCAUUGCAACAAACUGUAUCACAGUCGCUCGUCCUGCAAAGUUAAUUCAUUGCACAUAUGAAUUACGCCUAGAAAACUAUACAGUCAUUCUAAAAAGCUAAAGUACUAAGUACACUUUUUAUCGACAUUGCGUUUUCUAACUUUGCAGUAAUUGUGUAAAGGUUACAUUAACCUUAACAACAGACCAUUAACUAUUAUUUGAUAGUUGAAACAACACAAACAAAGAAUGAAUUUUCUUUUCAUUUUUAAAAUGCUUGUAUGCUUCACAUUGUCUCACGCAAAACCGUCGAGGUGAAACUCAAAUCAGUUUUUACUAGCAACCUAGUAAAACGCAAAGUGUUCUCUGGAAACUUUGGCAACCAUCCGAAGUAUUUUUAAUGCAGUUUUAACCGAUUUGAAAUACAACACGCUUUCAACUUCCGAUAAACGAAGUGAGUACAAACUUGAAAGCAUUAUGUCAUGAGACAACAUGACAAUCAAGGAUUUGCAUCGUCAUUCUUGUUCCAACACGACGAACAAUCAACAAAAACCAACUUAAUCACUAGCUAAACUGCACUUGACAUUCUGCAAUAUAAAAACAAACGCAGUUCAGCAUUCACUCAGCUCAACAUUAGCUCAGCUCAACUUCAACGCAGCUCAGCUCGCAAAAUAUUUCCUGAGUGACCACCAUCGUUUCCAUCAUCAUGGCAUGAAAAAUAACCACCACAAAGACUUGGUAAACGACAACACUUCGUCUCAAUGGGGAA